This 677-nucleotide unclassified non-coding RNA is filed under the name Hevea brasiliensis (rubber tree). Lineage: Eukaryota; Viridiplantae; Streptophyta; Magnoliopsida; Malpighiales; Euphorbiaceae. The record is from RNAcentral.
ACCUUCACUUCAGUUUGGAAUUCUCGUUCCCCUUGAGAUGCAGCUCCUUCUAGUCUCUUCACAGCUGCAACUUUCUGGGUGCUCGAUAUUAGCCCUUUAUAAACAGUCCCAAAUGAACCUCUGCCAAUUUCUUCCUUGAAACCAUCUGUCACUCUCUCUAGUUCUUCAAAGGUAAAGGAUCGAGGAGCAACUUCCUCACUUAAUCCAAUGUGGUCUUUUUCAGAGAUCCUUUUGUAUGCCCACACACGAUAUUUAAGAAACAGAAUGCCAGAAAUUGCCAACGUAACAAGCCCAAAAGCAACAACUGAAAUGCCAACGAUUAGGACGCCCCUGCCGAGCUGAUCACUUUUCUUUUUGUCUACUGCAGGCUCGUUUCUGUCUGUGUUGGUCCUGAUUGAUGUAGAUUUAACCUUGAUCAAAGCUGAGUUUGACUCAUCCGGGUUUCUUCUCCCAUAUCUCAAAGGCAGCUUUUGCUUUUUGCACAGACCGUCUUCGUAAAACGCAGCAUCACAGUUACAAUCCUGCAGACAUGCUUGCUCGCACUCUCCCUUGAUAGAUAAUGAGAGAACGGAGUAUGAUACAUCUUCCCACGCGGUGCUAAGAACUUCUUGAAUUCUGAUGCUUUUAUGAUCUUCUUUGCAACUUUCAGCUGUGAAAUUCCUCUCACAUCCAGCAGU